RNAcentral lists this ribosomal RNA (87 nucleotides) under uncultured bacterium. Its description in RNAcentral is "partial 16S ribosomal RNA". The record is from RNAcentral.
CACAUCACGAAAGUCAGCUGCUCUUGAAGUCGCCGAGCUAACCCGCAAGGGAGGCAGGCGCCGACAGAGUGGCUGGCGAUUGGGGUG